CUCAGGAUGAACGCUAGCGGCAGGCUUAAUACAUGCAAGUCGUGGGGCAGCAGGUUUGUAGCAAUACAGAUGCUGGCGACCGGCAAACGGGUGCGGAACACGUACAGAACCUUCCUUUGAGCGGGGAAUAGCCCAGAGAAAUUUGGAUUAAUACCCCAUAGUAUAAUGAAGUGGCAUCACUUUAUUAUUAAAGAUUUAUCACUCGAAGAUGGCUGUGUGGCUGAUUAGGUAGUUGGCGGGGUAAAGGCCCCACCAAGCCUGCGAUCAGUAACUGGUGUGAGAGCACGACCAGUCACACGGGCACUGAGACACGGGCCCGACUCCUACGGGAGGCAGCAGUAAGGAAUAUUGGUCAAUGGAGGCAACUCUGAACCAGCCAUGCCGCGUGGAGGAUGAAGGUCCUCUGGAUUGUAAACUUCUUUAUAUGGGACGAAAAAAGGCUUUUCUAAGUCGUCUGACGGUACCAUAUGAAUAAGCACCGGCUAACUCCGUG
Molecule: ribosomal RNA, 493 nt
Filed under: uncultured bacterium
Lineage: Bacteria
Description: bacterial SSU rRNA
Rfam family: Bacterial small subunit ribosomal RNA
Source: RNAcentral